UUUAAUUUUUAAAUUUUAAUUUUAAUUUUAAAUUAUUAUUUUUAAUUUUUAAAAUUUAAAAUUUGAUAUUUUAUAUUUUUUAAAUUUAAAUAUAAGGGCCACUAUUAUUAUUUUCUAUUUAUAACUGCCUACUAUUCUUCUUAUUUCAUCUUAUCUAUCCAAAGACUAUUUUUUUAAUUUCCGGAAACGACUCAAUUUUCAUCCAAACGUAAAAUUGAUCUAUUCCAUAUUUAACCCUAAACUUAUACCUAUUUAUGAAAUAACUAAUUCUUACUUAAUCCCAAACCAAAUGAAACCUUAAAAAAUAUCGCGACCAAAUAGACCUUUUAGAUUUUAAUGUAAAGAUAAUAAUUGAUAAGACAAGCAGAGAGGUAGUGGCUUUAGAAUAAAUAAAGUAUAAAAUUUAGAGCUUUUUUUUUGCAUUUGGCCCUUAGAAAAAAUUUAUUUUAAAAAUAGCCCCAGCAAAUUUAUAUUUGCAAAAAUGAUCCUAACCCUGCCACGUCCGCCACGUGAGCGGGGUUGGGGCCAGUUUGUUAAGUUGAACACGAUGAACGGUUCACCGUGUCUAGAAAAAAUAUAUAAAUAUUGAAAAGAGGAAAGGAGAGGAAUGUAGGUACGGAAUAUGGUAAAUCAUUCACCAUAUUUGAACACGGUGAAUGAUUUAUCAUGUUCAAUUUAAAACCAUGGCGCUGAUAUGGUGCCUGCGUGGCGAGGAUAUAGCCGUUUUUUAUAAAUAUAAAUUUGCUGAAG
This 750-nucleotide long non-coding RNA is filed under the name Ananas comosus (pineapple). Its description in RNAcentral is "long non-coding RNA (ACOM_LNC041660)". Lineage: Eukaryota; Viridiplantae; Streptophyta; Magnoliopsida; Poales; Bromeliaceae. The record is from RNAcentral.